GAUGAACGCUGGCGGCGUGCCUAAUACAUGCAAGUCGAGCGAACGGACGAGAAGCUUGCUUCUCUGAUGUUAGCGGCGGACGGGUGAGUAACACGUGGAUAACCUACCUAUAAGACUGGGAUAACUUCGGGAAACCGUAUCUAAUACCGGAUAAUAUUUUGAACCGCAUGGUUCAAAAGUGAAAGACGGUCUUGCUGUCACUUAUCGAUGGAUCCGCGCUGCAUUAGCUAGUUGGUAAGGUAACGGCUUACCAAGGCAACGAUGCAUAGCCGACCUGAGAGGGGGAUCGGCCACACUGGAACGGAGACACGGUCCAGACUCCUACGGGAGGCAGCAGUAGGGAAUCUGCCGCAAUGGGCGAAAGCCUGACGGAGCAACGCCGCGUGAGUGGUGAAGGUCUUCGGAUCGUAAAACUCUGUUAUUAGGGAAGAACAUAUGUGUAAGUAACUGUGCACAUCUUGACGGUACCUAAUCAGAAAGCCACGGCUAACUACGUG
RNAcentral lists this ribosomal RNA (497 nucleotides) under uncultured bacterium. RNAcentral describes it as "partial 16S ribosomal RNA". It matches the Rfam family "Bacterial small subunit ribosomal RNA", at positions 28 to 507 of the family's 1533-position model. The record is from RNAcentral.